GAUGAACGCUGGCGGCGUGCUUAAUACAUGCAAGUCGAACGAAGGUUGUAGCAAUACAUCCUUAGUGGCGAACGGGUGAGUAACGCGUUGGUGACCUCGCCCCGAAGUGCGGGAAUAACAGUCCGAAAGGAUUGCUAAUACCGCAUGGUUCAUUUGGAUUAGAUGCCAGAUGAGACAAGGCGAAAGUCGCUUCGGGAGGGGCUUGCGUCCCAUCAGCUAGUUGGUAGGGUAAUGGCCUACCAAGGGCAAUGACGGGUAGGGGACCUGAGAGGGUGGCCCCCCACAAUGGAACUGAAACACGGUCCAUACACCUACGGGUGGCAGCAGUAGGGAAUAUUGGUUAAUGUGCGAAAGCGCGAACCAGCAACGCCGCGUGCACGAUGAAGGCCUUCGGGUUGUAAAGUGCUUUUUGAGGGGAUGAGGAAGGACAGUACCCUCAGAAUAAGUCUCGGCCAACUACGUG
This 463-nucleotide ribosomal RNA is filed under the name uncultured bacterium. RNAcentral describes it as "bacterial SSU rRNA". It matches the Rfam family "Bacterial small subunit ribosomal RNA", at positions 28 to 507 of the family's 1533-position model. The record is from RNAcentral.